This 349-nucleotide unclassified non-coding RNA is filed under the name soil metagenome. RNAcentral describes it as "partial contains 5.8S ribosomal RNA, internal transcribed spacer 2, and large subunit ribosomal RNA". The stretch from base 1 to 120 matches the Rfam family "5.8S ribosomal RNA", at positions 35 to 154 of the family's 154-position model. The record is from RNAcentral.
GAUGAAGAACGCAGCGAAAUGCGAUAAGUAAUGUGAAUUGCAGAAUUCAGUGAAUCAUCGAGUCUUUGAACGCACAUUGCGCCCCCUGGUAUUCCGGGGGGCAUGCCUGUCCGAGCGUCAUUGCCGCCCUCAAGCACGGCUUGUGUGUUGGGCCCCCGCCCCCCGGCUUCGGGGGGCGGGCCCGAAAGGCAGCGGCGGCACCGCGUCCGGUCCUCGAGCGUAUGGGGCUUCGUCACCCGCUCUGUAGGCCCGGCCGGCGCCCGCCGGCGACCCCAAUCAAUCUUUCCAGGUUGACCUCGGAUCAGGUAGGAGUUACCCGCUGAACUUAAGCAUAUCAAUAAGCGGAGGA